ACAUGAGAGGUGUAGCAUAAGUGGGAGCUGUGGUGCCCUCGGGCGCCGCUGUCGACGGUGAAAUACCAAUACUUUGAAUAGUUUCUUUACUUACUCGGUGAGGCGGAGGGCGUGCGCGGUCGUCGAUUCGUCGCGGCCGCGUCACGGUGUUCUGGUUCCAAGGGUGUCUGGGUCGCGGGCGCCACUGGGAGGACGGGCGCGUCGUGGGGUGGCGUGCGUGUCGCCUCGUGCGGCCGCGCGUUCGCUUCGCGGCUCGUUCGCUCCGUCCCUAGCCCGUGUUUAUCCCACCCGAUCCGAUUCGAGGACACCGCCAGGCUGGGAGUUUGACUGGGGCGGUACAUCUGUCAAAGAAUAACGCAGGUGUCCUAAGGCCAGCUCAGCGAGGACAGAAACCUCGCGUGGAGCAAAAGGGCAAAUGCUGGCUUGAUCCCGAUGCUCAGUACGCAUAGGGACUGCGAAAGCACGGCCUAUCGAUCCUUUUGGCUUGGGGAGUUUCCAGCAAGAGGUGUCAGAAAAGUUACCACAUGGAAACUGGCUUGUGGCGGCCAAGCGCUCCAUAGCGACGUCGCUUUUUGAUCCUUUCG
RNAcentral lists this ribosomal RNA (584 nucleotides) under Enallagma cyathigerum. RNAcentral describes it as "eukaryotic LSU rRNA". It matches the Rfam family "Eukaryotic large subunit ribosomal RNA", at positions 2449 to 2880 of the family's 3401-position model. The record is from RNAcentral. Lineage: Eukaryota; Metazoa; Arthropoda; Insecta; Odonata; Coenagrionidae.